GACGAACGCUGGCGGCGUGCUUAACACAUGCAAGUCGAACGGAAAGGCCCCUUUGGGGGUACUCGAGUGGCGAACGGGUGAGUAACACGUGAGUAACCUGCCCUUGACUUCGGGAUAACUUCAGGAAACUGGGGCUAAUACCGGAUAGGAAUCCUUGCUGCAUGGUGGGGGUUGGAAAGCUUCGGCGGUUUUGGAUGGACUCGCGGCUUAUCAGCUUGUUGGUGGGGUAGUGGCUUACCAAGGCUUUGACGGGUAGCCGGCCUGGGAGGGCGACCGGCCACAUUGGGACUGAGAUACGGCCCAGACUCCGACGGGAGGCAGCAGUGGGGAAUAUUGCACAAUGGGCGGAAGCCUGAUGCAGCAACGCCGCGGGCGGGAUGACGGCCUUCGGGUUGUAAACCGCUUUCAGCAGGGGCGAAGCUUGUGGUGACGGUACCUGCAGAAGAAGCACCGGCUAACUACGUG
Molecule: ribosomal RNA, 465 nt
Filed under: uncultured bacterium
Lineage: Bacteria
Description: partial 16S ribosomal RNA
Rfam family: Bacterial small subunit ribosomal RNA
Source: RNAcentral